Pelobates cultripes (western spadefoot toad) is the source of this 420-nucleotide non-coding RNA. Lineage: Eukaryota; Metazoa; Chordata; Amphibia; Anura; Pelobatidae. The record is from the annotation of a GenBank genome assembly.
GUCCAAAUGAGAAUAAUGUUCGCAUAUUUAGCCUUUCCUUGUUUUCCCUUCUACGGUGGCCUGUGCACACACCCAGGGCACACACAUUCAUCACCACUUUCUUUGGAAACAUUGUGAUGAGUUCAGAUAUAAUUUGUAUGCCAUUAGCAUGCGGAUGACAGUACUAGAGAGCCAACAGGACAUAGAUAAACAAUAUUUAGGCAGCAUUUGCAUUGGAAAUAUCAACACAAACCAGUGGCUUUCUUGUAAUUUUAGAUAGAGUUUCCGAAUAGAAAUUACUAUGAUCUGCAACUUCCGUUCCUCUGAGCUGUCAGACUUUUUUGUUUUGCAGAAUGUAUCCGUUCUGCGUUAGAAUGAGACUAGGCUAUACCUCAAUUUCUCCAAGAUUAUCAUAUACAUUAAAGAAGCACACAAAAAGCC